Molecule: regulatory RNA element, 36 nt
Organism: Tenacibaculum sp.
Lineage: Bacteria; Pseudomonadati; Bacteroidota; Flavobacteriia; Flavobacteriales; Flavobacteriaceae
Rfam family: DUF805b RNA
About the family: Bacteroidetes, Chlorobi (1 example), Proteobacteria. Lineage (Flavobacteria)
Source: Rfam
AAAGAGGUAUGCUGAAAAUCUUUAAAAGAGUAAGUA